GAAAGCCUGACGGAGCAACGCCGCGUGAGUGAUGAAGGUCUUCGGAUCGUAAAACUCUGUUAUUAGGGAAGAACAAGGGUGUAAGUAACUAUGCACCCCUUGACGGUACCUGAUCAGAAAGCCACGGCUAACUACGUGCCAGCAGCCGCGGUAAUACGUAGGUGGCAAGCGUUAUCCGGAAUUAUUGGGCGUAAAGCGCGCGUAGGCGGUUUUUUAAGUCUGA
Molecule: ribosomal RNA, 223 nt
Filed under: Staphylococcus simulans
Lineage: Bacteria; Bacillati; Bacillota; Bacilli; Caryophanales; Staphylococcaceae
Description: partial 16S ribosomal RNA
Rfam family: Bacterial small subunit ribosomal RNA
Source: RNAcentral